RNAcentral lists this small RNA (113 nucleotides) under Yersinia enterocolitica. RNAcentral describes it as "RtT sRNA". It matches the Rfam family "RtT RNA". Rfam says of the family: This family represents a bacterial cis-regulatory element known as RtT RNA. The exact function of RtT is unknown although it is thought that it may be involved in changing the cellular response in relation to amino acid starvation. The record is from RNAcentral. RNAcentral also lists the same sequence under 1 other name. Lineage: Bacteria; Pseudomonadati; Pseudomonadota; Gammaproteobacteria; Enterobacterales; Yersiniaceae.
AACUACACAAAAUCGUGUGGGUGAGAUCCUGCGUUCAGGUUCGAGCCGAGCGAAGCGAGACAGCAACGCGCAAGCGUUGACCCGAAGGGCGAGUCAUCCCGCACGACCCACCA